RNAcentral lists this transfer RNA (55 nucleotides) under Bemisia sp. WTT-2017. Its description in RNAcentral is "tRNA-Ser". The record is from RNAcentral. Lineage: Eukaryota; Metazoa; Arthropoda; Insecta; Hemiptera; Aleyrodidae.
AAAUCAAUAUUUAAUAUUUUGAAAAUAUUAUUUAGGUUAUUUAAUCUUUGAUUUU